UCGAGCUUCACUUGGCCCUUUUUCAGCUGCGGGCUUGCUGGAGUCGCCCGCCUACCGCUUCUUCAUGGCCUCCUUGUCCUUCAGCUUGAAGGCUUCCUCUGCUCGGGUAUAUCCUUUGGCCUGAGCCAGCAAAUCAGCGAAGUCCCUGGGAUACUUCUUUUUCAGGGAAAAUAGAAGGUCAUUCUUUUGAAGACCGCUCUUCAGGACGGCCAUUGCAACUGAUUGGUCCAAGUUUCAGACCUCCAAUGCGGCGGCGUUAAAAUGGUUGACAUAAGUUCAGAUGGAUUCUUCCUCCUUUUGCUUGAUGUUGAUGAGAGACUCCGAACCUCUCCAGAGACGUCGGCUGCUGAUGAAAUAAGCCACAAACUGGUGGCUCAUUUGAUCAAAGGAGAAGAUAGUACCCGACUUCAAUGUCGAGUACCAAUUUCUUGCUGCUCCCUUCAAGGUAGAU
RNAcentral lists this long non-coding RNA (451 nucleotides) under Elaeis guineensis (African oil palm). Its description in RNAcentral is "long non-coding RNA (EGUI_LNC081658)". Lineage: Eukaryota; Viridiplantae; Streptophyta; Magnoliopsida; Arecales; Arecaceae. The record is from RNAcentral.